Aegilops tauschii subsp. strangulata is the source of this 629-nucleotide long non-coding RNA. RefSeq lists it as uncharacterized. The record is from RefSeq and is a predicted model, not a curated record. Lineage: Eukaryota; Viridiplantae; Streptophyta; Magnoliopsida; Poales; Poaceae.
CCCAUAUCCUGCUCGUGUGCCGCCUCCUGCCGUUAUCCUUGACCUCGUGGAAUUACCCCAGCCACGGAACAACUCUUCUUCUCCGCUCCCCUGUCUCUCCCAAGGCCGACGGGGCGCCGUCGCUCUCCGGCAAGAUGUUUGGGGUGGACUCCGACAGAUCCAGUUCACCUGCUUCACCACGCCGGAGUCUAUGGAAGUCCCUCGGCCUGGAGAGUGCAGGCUGCCAGUUCUGGACACUGGCCCUCUAGCCGUGAUGAGGCCGGUCGAGUAGCAGGCUUCUCUUCGCAUCGCCAAUGGGGAAAUCUGACGUGCCGGGAAACUAGGCGGCGCCAGGCAAAGCGUUAGAUUCCCCCUGAAUUUGACGGGAUUCAGGUGUGAUCUGAAGCUACCAACGGCUGGACUGGAGGUUUGGGAUGGGGGUAGCAGCAGUGAAGCGUGAGGUUGAUCCAAACAGAAAGAGUACUUUGGAAAUAUCAAUUAGGUUAUUUAUAACCAAGCUGGAAGUUUGUUCAUGGCUAAUGGUGUUUGGUGUUUUCGUGGCUAAUGGUGUUUUUUUUUUCUAUUGUUAGAAAAUGCAAAUGAUUUGGUUCUAUUGGAACAUAAAAAAGAUAUGAAGGCAAUUUGUUGAA